Acanthopagrus latus (yellowfin seabream) is the source of this 676-nucleotide long non-coding RNA. RefSeq lists it as uncharacterized. The transcript has 2 exons. NCBI's taxonomy places the organism in Eukaryota, Metazoa, Chordata, Actinopteri, Spariformes, Sparidae. The record is from RefSeq and is a predicted model, not a curated record.
AUGUCUCCCUGUGCGUGGGCUCAGAAAUGCUUGUGAAAAUUAGCAGAACGUUACAAUAGUGCACAAGUCACAUGCAACAGUGCGACCCCUUAAUCCACCGCCUGACCCUCGGGGCUUUAAGCAUGUGGUGUUUCCGUUAGCAUGUGGCGCCUGGCACGAACGCUAAACUUGCUCACUAAACAGGCAGUAAACCUUUACAAUGGAAGUCACUGAGUCACAUACCUACGAAGUGAAGGUCUUAGGCCAUGAGGGGUCCUGCUGGGGGUGAUGCCCCGGACAAUGCAGUCAAACAGGAAACUGAUCUGCUCUCCUUCUGAACAGGACAAGAAGAAAACACCAGCCCCUGGAAGAUGGGAGGGGAAAGAGACCAAAGUAUAUGAUGGAUUGUUAGGGAAAAAAAGAUGAUGGAAUUGGGGAAAGUUACAGAAUCAUCAAAUUACAUAACAUGACGCAGAAGUGUUUGAAAUGUAGAGUAAGAGAGAAAAAAUGAGCAAGGCCAUCCAAUAUUCAGUGAGGCUCAAAAGGCUGUUGUAAAGGCAAGGCUGCUCUUUCUUCCAAAGGUUGCAUAAAACAUCUCUCAAUUCAGCCCCCACUGUCCUAUCAAGCCCACACAGAUGUGGGAGUCUGUGGAAACACAAAACAAGCAAAAAAAAUUAAAUAAAUAAAUCAUGCAACA